Molecule: ribosomal RNA, 570 nt
Filed under: Episeptum pseudoinversum
Lineage: Eukaryota; Fungi; Microsporidia; Gurleyidae
Description: SSU rRNA
Rfam family: Microsporidia small subunit ribosomal RNA
Source: RNAcentral
GUGCCAGCAGCCGCGGUAAUUCCAGCUCUAGGAGCGUCUGUGUGUGUUGCUGCGGUUAAAAAGCGCGUAGUCGGGCAGACAGCCAGCAAUAAAGGUGCGGUCUCAUGCCGUGCAUUGUGCUGGAACGAAGGCCUAGGGACCGGAGAGGGGCAAUGGUAUUCGGCAGCGAGGGGUGAAAACCGAUGACCUGUCGAGGAGCAACAGAGGCGAAAGCGAUUGUCCGGAACGGGUUCGACGAUCAAGCGCGUGAGCAGGAGGAUCGAAGACGAUUAGAGACCGUCGUAGUUCCUGCAGUAAACGAUGCCGACGGGGCUGCAGCAGGCUGUGGCCCGGGGGAAACCGAGUGUAUGGGCUCCGGGGAUAGUACGGGCGCAAGCCAGAAACUUAAAGAAAUUGACGGAAGGACACCACAAGGAGUGGAGUGUGCGGGUUAAUUUGACUCAACGCGGGACAACUUACCGGAGGCAGGUAGUAUCGUGUGAAGGGGUGGGAUAAAGAUCUGUGUUCCCAAGGAUGCUGCGUUGUGGUGCAUGGCCGUUCUUAACACGUGGGGUGACCUGUCUGGUUAAA